AUUGAACGCUGGCGGAAUGCUUUACACAUGCAAGUCGAGCGGCAGCGCGGGGGCAACCCUGGCGGCGAGCGGCGAACGGGUGAGUAACAUAUCGGAACGUACCCCGUCGUGGGGGAUAACACAGCGAAAGCUGUGCUAAUACCGCAUACGACCUGAGGGUGAAAGCGGGGGAUCGCAAGACCUCGCGCGAUGGGAGCGGCCGAUAUCGGAUUAGCUUGUUGGUGAGGUAAAGGCUCACCAAGGCGACGAUCCGUAGCUGGUCUGAGAGGACGACCAGCCACACUGGAACUGAGACACGGUCCAGACUCCUACGGGAGGCAGCAGUGGGGAAUUUUGGACAAUGGGGGCAACCCUGAUCCAGCCAUUCCGCGUGAGUGAAGAAGGCCUUCGGGUUGGUUAAA
This 401-nucleotide ribosomal RNA is filed under the name uncultured bacterium. RNAcentral's name for it is "bacterial SSU rRNA". It matches the Rfam family "Bacterial small subunit ribosomal RNA", at positions 29 to 430 of the family's 1533-position model. The record is from RNAcentral.